UACGUAGGGGGCAAGCGUUGUCCGGAAUCAUUGGGCGUAAAGAGCGUGUAGGCGGCCAGACAGGUCCGUUGUGAAAACUCGAGGCUCAACCUCGAGAUGUCGAUGGAAACCGUCUGGCUAGAGUCCGGAAGAGGAGUGUGGAAUUCCUGGUGUAGCGGUGAAAUGCGCAGAUAUCAGGAAGAACACCUAUGGCGAAGGCAGCACUCUGGGACGGUACUGACGCUGAGACGCGAAAGCGUGGGGAGCAAACAGG
RNAcentral lists this ribosomal RNA (253 nucleotides) under uncultured bacterium. Its description in RNAcentral is "partial 16S ribosomal RNA". It matches the Rfam family "Bacterial small subunit ribosomal RNA", at positions 524 to 776 of the family's 1533-position model. The record is from RNAcentral.